This 240-nucleotide ribosomal RNA is filed under the name uncultured bacterium. RNAcentral's name for it is "partial 16S ribosomal RNA". It matches the Rfam family "Bacterial small subunit ribosomal RNA", at positions 15 to 236 of the family's 1533-position model. The record is from RNAcentral.
GAUCCUGGCUCAGGAUGAACGCUGGCGGCGUGCCUAACACAUGCAAGUCGAACGAAGCACAUACGACGGAACUCUUCGGAGGGAAGAUGUAUGUGACUGAGUGGCGGACGGGUGAGUAACGCGUGGGUAACCUGCCCUAUACAGGGGGACAACAGUUGGAAACGACUGCUAAUACCGCAUAAGCGCACAGUACCGCAUGGUACAGAGCGAAAAACUCCGGUGGUAUAGGAUGGCCGGCGU